RNAcentral lists this ribosomal RNA (396 nucleotides) under uncultured bacterium. RNAcentral's name for it is "partial 16S ribosomal RNA". It matches the Rfam family "Bacterial small subunit ribosomal RNA", at positions 523 to 917 of the family's 1533-position model. The record is from RNAcentral.
AUACGUAGGGGGCGAGCGUUGUCCGGAAUGAUUGGGCGUAAAGGGCGCGUAGGCGGCCUGUUAAGUCUGGAGUGAAAGUCCUGUUUUCAAGAUGGGAAUUGCUUUGGAAACUGAAGGGCUUGAGUGUAGGAGAGGUUAUCGGAAUUCCCGGUGUAGCGGUGAAAUGCGUAGAGAUCGGGAGGAACACCAGUGGCGAAGGCGGGUAACUGGACUGCAACUGACGCUGAGGCGCGAAAGUGUGGGGAGCAAACAGGAUUAGAUACCCUGGUAGUCCACACUGUAAACGAUGAAUGCUAGGUGUAGGGGGUAUCGACCCCUUCUGUGCCGCAGUAAACACAAUAAGCAUUCCGCCUGGGGAGUACGGUCGCAAGAUUAAAACUCAAAUGAAUUGACGGG